Molecule: long non-coding RNA, 545 nt
Filed under: Homo sapiens (human)
Lineage: Eukaryota; Metazoa; Chordata; Mammalia; Primates; Hominidae
Description: HSALNT0207065
Source: RNAcentral
GGGACUGGAGGUUACAGCUGCCUGGGAGGCAGCCUGCAGGCACAGCCAAUUCGUUGUUUGCAGUAUAGUUAUGGUCUAUAAGGACCCCGCAGACACUGCAUUAGCAGAUCCCAAGACAUUUCUCCAGGGGAAAUGCGGGGUUAGGUUCCUGUGGGCCUCUGGUGAGCCAAUCAAUAUAUAACCUGACUUGCAUGUGUCUGCUUAAAGACACCUUAUUCAACGUACUGUUGAUUCAUUAACACUGAACCUGCACCCAGCAGCUGAAUGAAGCUCCCCUAAGGCCCCCCAGCCUCUCCUGCUCAGGACACAAGACAGCACCAGGCACAGGGCCAUUCCAAACAGCAAAGUCACCGGCGAAGAGCACCAAGUGUGGAAAGCUGGGCACUACGGAGGCCUCGGCCCUGUUUACAGACCUCAGGCUCACCUAAGAGAGAGGACUUGCUGACUGCAGUGUCCAGGGCGCUUCCAGGCCUAGGCAGGCUCUUACUGAAGACGAAGUAUCUGAUGUUUCUGAAGCCUGAAUUCAAGGACAAAGCAAAUUGCUC